UGAGGAAUUUUGGACAAUGGGGGAAACCCUGAUCCAGCGACGCCGCGUGAAGGAUGAAGGUCUUCGGAUUGUAAACUUCUUUUGUCCCGGAUUAAGAAACCCUUGGAAACAAGGGGAGUGAAUGAUGGGAUGAAUAAGCCACGGCUAACUUCGUGCCAGCAGCCGCGGUAAUACGAAGGUGGCAAGCGUUACUCGGAAUUACUAGGCGUAAAGGGCAGGUAGGCGGUUUGGUUAGUCUGUUGUGAAAGCUCCCGGCUUAACCGGGAGAGGUCAACAGAUACUGCCAGGCUUGAGUAUGGGAGAGGGUACUGGAAUUCCUGGUGUAGCGGUGAAAUGCGCAGAUAUCAGGAGGAACACCGAUGGCGAAAGCAGGUACCUGGACCAUUACUGACGCUCAGCUGCGAAAGCUAGGGGAGCAAACAGG
RNAcentral lists this ribosomal RNA (424 nucleotides) under uncultured bacterium. Its description in RNAcentral is "bacterial SSU rRNA". It matches the Rfam family "Bacterial small subunit ribosomal RNA", at positions 355 to 776 of the family's 1533-position model. The record is from RNAcentral.